CAUGCAGAACGAGAAAACAAAGAAGAGAUAAGAGAAGAAGAAGAGGGGAGUAGAGAUAAGGGUUUAAAUGAUCUUUCUAAUGGUCUGGAGGCCCUUUCUCUUUCAUCUUCCUCUUCUUCUUCCUCUUCUUCUUCAUCU
Molecule: non-coding RNA, 138 nt
Filed under: Paramoeba aestuarina
Lineage: Eukaryota; Discosea; Flabellinia; Dactylopodida; Paramoebidae
Source: RNAcentral